UACGUAGGGUGCGAGCGUUGUCCGGAAUUAUUGGGCGUAAAGGGCUCGUAGGCGGUUUGUCGCGUCUGCUGUGAAAACUCGGGGCUUAACCCCGGGCCUGCAGUGGGUACGGGCAGACUAGAGUGCGGUAGGGGAGACUGGAAUUCCUGGUGUAGCGGUGAAAUGCGCAGAUAUCAGGAGGAACACCGGUGGCGAAGGCGGGUCUCUGGGCCGUAACUGACGCUGAGGAGCGAAAGCGUGGGGAGCGAACAGG
This 253-nucleotide ribosomal RNA is filed under the name uncultured bacterium. RNAcentral describes it as "partial 16S ribosomal RNA". It matches the Rfam family "Bacterial small subunit ribosomal RNA", at positions 524 to 776 of the family's 1533-position model. The record is from RNAcentral.